GCAAUACCAUAGUGGCGCACGGGUGCGUAACACGUAACUAACCUACCUAUAACUGGGGGAUAGCCCGCCGAAAGGCGGAUUAAUACCGCAUAAGCUGCUUAGGUGGCAUCACCUGAAUAGUAAAGAUUUAUUGGUUAUAGAUGGGGUUGCGGGUCAUUAGCUAGUUGGUAAGGUAACGGCUUACCAAGGCGACGAUGACUAGGGGAGCUGAGAGGCUGGUCCCCCACACGGGCACUGAGAUACGGGCCCGACUCCUACGGGAGGCAGCAGUAGGGAAUAUUGGGCAAUGGGCGAGAGCCUGACCCAGCCAUGCCGCGUGCAGGAAGAAGGCUUUCUGAGUCGUAAACUGCUUUUGACAGGGAAGAAUAAGGUGUACGUGUACACUGAUGACGGUACCUGCAGAAUAAGCACCGGCUAACUCCGUGCCAGCA
This 431-nucleotide ribosomal RNA is filed under the name uncultured Bacteroidota bacterium. RNAcentral's name for it is "bacterial SSU rRNA". It matches the Rfam family "Bacterial small subunit ribosomal RNA", at positions 84 to 513 of the family's 1533-position model. Lineage: Bacteria; Pseudomonadati; Bacteroidota. The record is from RNAcentral.